Molecule: ribosomal RNA, 253 nt
Filed under: uncultured bacterium
Lineage: Bacteria
Description: partial 16S ribosomal RNA
Rfam family: Bacterial small subunit ribosomal RNA
Source: RNAcentral
UACGAAGGGUGCAAACGUUGCUCGGAAUUAUUGGGCGUAAAGCGCGCGUAGGCGGCUUUGCAAGUCGGGUGUGAAAUCCCCAGGCUUAACCUGGGAACUGCAUUCGAGACUGCAUUGCUAGAGUAUGGGAGAGGGAAGUGGAAUUUCCGGUGUAGCGGUGAAAUGCGUAGAUAUCGGAAGGAACAUCAGUGGCGAAAGCGACUUCCUGGACCAAUACUGACGCUCAUGUGCGAAAGCGUGGGGAGCAAACAGG